Ovis aries (sheep) is the source of this 73-nucleotide transfer RNA. It matches the Rfam family "tRNA". From Rfam's summary of the family: Transfer RNA (tRNA) molecules are approximately 80 nucleotides in length. NCBI's taxonomy places the organism in Eukaryota, Metazoa, Chordata, Mammalia, Artiodactyla, Bovidae. The record is from Rfam.
UCCCUGGUGGUCCAGUGGCUAAGAUUUUGUGCUUCCAAUGCAGGAAGCCCGGGUUCAAUCCCUGGUCAGGGAA